CUUUAUUUGAGAGUUUGAUCCUGGCUCAGGACGAACGCUGGCGGCGUGCCUAAUACAUGCAAGUUGAGCGCUGAAGGUUGGUACUUGUAC
This 90-nucleotide ribosomal RNA is filed under the name Lactococcus lactis. RNAcentral's name for it is "16S rRNA. Bacterial SSU". It matches the Rfam family "Bacterial small subunit ribosomal RNA", at positions 1 to 85 of the family's 1533-position model. The record is from RNAcentral. Lineage: Bacteria; Bacillati; Bacillota; Bacilli; Lactobacillales; Streptococcaceae.